Molecule: transfer RNA, 84 nt
Filed under: Felis catus (domestic cat)
Lineage: Eukaryota; Metazoa; Chordata; Mammalia; Carnivora; Felidae
Rfam family: tRNA
About the family: Transfer RNA (tRNA) molecules are approximately 80 nucleotides in length. Their secondary structure includes four short double-helical elements and three loops (D, anti-codon, and T loops).
Source: Rfam by way of RNAcentral
GCCUGGGUGGCUUAGUCGGUUGAGCAUUUGACUUUGGCUCAGGUAUGAUCUCGCGGUUCGUGAGUUCGAGCCCCACGUCAGGCU